Molecule: long non-coding RNA, 1492 nt
Organism: Marmota flaviventris (yellow-bellied marmot)
Lineage: Eukaryota; Metazoa; Chordata; Mammalia; Rodentia; Sciuridae
Source: RefSeq, a predicted model, not a curated record
UCUUAUAAUGCUUUGUGAUCACAUUGGGCCCAACAGAUAAUCCAGGGCAAUCUUCCCUCUCAAGAUCCUGAACUUAAUCAUGUCUGCAAAACCCCUUUAACAAGUUUUCCAGUUGAACUGAAUUUUAUGAAGGUUAUAAGGCAGAGAGGAAGAAUGCCAUUGUUCUAAUGAAAGGAUUGGGACCAGAUGCAUAAACUUCAAGAAAUCUCUUCUAGCAUCAGCAUAUACAUCAAUAAAUAGAUGACAUUUAUGGAUAUGCUUCUCCUACUCAGCCUUCAUAAGGAAGAACAGCUCACAUUGUGGUCCAAAAGGAAAUCAUAAGACAGGUACCUGCUGAAGGCAGAAGAUGAGCUGAUCUCAGAUCACUCCAUUCAAAACACAGGGAUUCAGAGGCAAAUAAAGCAUGCAAUGAAUUACUUGGUGUGAUAAGAAACAUGAGAAGAGAAAAAUAAGAAAAAAAGUGUCAGGAUAUGAGGUCAAAUGAGAUUCUGCUCAUUAACACUGAAACAAAUUUGGAAGAUAUUGAAAGACCAGGGAGUUAAUGAUCAAGUUGCUUGCAUAUUUUGUUGGCUGGUGAGGGCUGCUGUGUACCUCCGGGAUGCCACCUGGUUUCUGCAUCUUCCAGAGGGCAAUGCCAUUAUUCCCUCACAUGGCAAAAGGUGGAAAGGCAAGCUAGAGCCAAAAGUCAUCUUCUUAAAAACUUCUUCUGCUGGAAUGAAAAGCUCUAAAAACUUCAGAUUGUUUGUUAUACAUGGAUGACAUUCAUUAAUUCUUUGGUUUCAACUAAUAAUAAUGUUGCUGGCUCAGUCAGAGACAUGACAAGUCCUUGAAAAAUUCAAAAGAGUCUCAAAAUUCACAAAUUGAACUCUAUGCUCUGACUUCUGUGUCUGUGUUUCUACAGGAUACAUUUGGAAAUCCAAAUGGGAAACAUACUCCUUUACCCUAUGAUUUUGAAAACAAUUGGUCAGGUAUCUCUCAACAUCUGGAGAGACAGUACCAUAUGUUGGUUGGGAGUGUUGAAAAAGAGAAGACAUUAAAUAGUCCUUUUAGAUGGUGACAGAGUUGGUAGUCUAGGGAGAUAUUACAGGAUUCCUUGCAGCAGUAGGUCCUAUUGAAACUCCAAGGAGGCCAUUCAAAAUGACAGUGCUCAUAUACCAGGCCUCAAGAUGUGAUGUGAACAAGCAGAGUAUUGUUCACCUGUGCUUUCCCCAAUUUGAUAAAAUUAUUUUGUUUAUGGCCUUUGUGGGUAAAUGUAAUUGUGAUUAAAACAAUGUACCCGAGAAUUUAAGCUUAGUAAAAUAGAAAGCAAGAGCAUUCGGUAGUGAGAGAGAGUGAAAAAGUAAUAGGAACUAUGGAUUGAACAACACAAUUAAUUAGAAAAUUGAGAAGAAGUCCUAACAUAAGGAAAAAUUGGUAAGGCAAGAGGUUAAUUCUGUUAACAUCUAACAUGAUAAACUAUAGUCUGGAAAUAAAAUAGUUGUUUUAUUCCUAA